CAUAUAAUUAUACAUUUUGUAUAAUUUCAGUUUUAUUUAGUCUUUUAUUUAAGUCAAUUAUUAUGUUGAUUCAGUUGUAAUGAAGUUUAUUUAUAAUAUGAAAUUCACUACAUUUUUUUCAUAAAUUAGUAACAUAUUUCUCUCAAUAGAAUUUAAACUUCAUUAUAUUGGGUCAUUCGAAAGUUUCUGCACUUUUUUAUGAAAGAUACAAAUAAAGCAAUCUAAAAAAAAAGUUAUCGACAUGCAGUUUGAAUCUCCAAAGAAGUGAAUUCCAGGCUACUCAGAGAAUUUCAAGUGACCUGAAGAGAUGAAAUCUGAGAGGGCAAGGUCUAAUGAAUAUGGAAAAGACACAAAACAUCUCAGCCUUACUCAGUGUAACAGAGAAGAAGGGGCAAAGAUUUGAUUUACUCAAGUUCAACCAGCAAUGCAAGUAAUGCUCUUCCUUAACUUUCUGAUUUAAUUAGCUUAAUCAAGCAAUAGCUAUAAUAAUUUUGUAUGCCUCAAAAUGCAGAUCUAAAGUAGCCUUUUUAAAAUUGAUGCAAUUGCAAGACCAUCCGAGAAUUCUUGAAAUAUUAUAAUAAUAAAUUUUGCUAUUGGAAGCAUUGUAGAGUCACAAGUACACAGGUUUGCAGAUUUUUUUAAAAAUACUUGGAAUAAUUUAUAGCCAGCCACCAUAUUUCAUGAUGAUGAUUGCCACAAAUUUGAAGGUUUUUGGAUAGUACACUGGGGUGCAAAACUUAAGCAACAAUGUAAAUUUUAAUGAGAUAGCCAUUAAAUUGUAGAAAAAGGGUUCUUGCAUUCAGUAGAAAGGUCAUGCGUAUGCAAAUGUCAAGAAAAAAUGUCACAGGCUACGUGAACGUAGCAAAACGUAUAUGGCUGGCACACUCAACUCGAGACUAUCAUAAAAGGAAGGAUGGAGACACAAUUAAAGACAUUCGCUGCAAGUACAAGGAGUUCUUUCAUGAAAUAUGGCUAGAAGAAAUGAUCUGGAUGACUUCACACGUGGAAGAAUGAUCGAAAAUCUGGAGUAGGGGCGAAGUGUGAUUAGUAUAGCUGAAGAGUUCAGAAUCAACAAAAGUGCUUUUCGUGCACUUGGAAAGCCUUACAAACCAUAGGUACGGCUGUUAGAAAGGUUGGUGGUGGCCGCCCAAGGAAAACAACUGCAGUGGAUGACCGAUAUAUUGUCCUGCAGGCGAAAAAGAGCCCGAAACAAGUCACCAAACUCCAUAAUUCAACAACUGUGUACAGCAACGGGGCGACAUGUGCCGCAGUUUACUGUGUGCAGACACCUUCAAAAAGUUGGCUUAUUCGCCUGCCGUCCUGAACGCUGCAUCCCUUUGAAAGCUGGCCAUCAGCAUCAGUGUUUACAGUGGUGCAAGAAGCGCAAAACCUGGGCAUCUCAUCAAUGGAGUCGUAUCCUCCUUACGGAUGAGAGUCAUUUUAGUGCCCAAGCAGUUCUCAACACAAAUUGAUUUGGAGAGAGAUCGGAAUACGGUUUAAUCUCAGUAACAUCACGGAAAGAGACCAUUAUGGUGUCCUGAAGAUCUCGUCUGGAGAGGCAUUAUGCUGAACGGGCGGAUAGAGCGCCACAUUUUCGACAGAAAUUCUGUAACCGGAGAUUGCUAUUGUCAGGAGGUGAUCCUUCCCCAUGUGCGUCAUUGUCAGGAGGUGAUCCUUCCCCAUGUGCAUCUGUUCCGAGAAGUCAUUGAAGCAGACUUCGUUUUUAUGGAUAACAAUGCACGGCCAUACCAGACUCCUUCUGUUCAGAAGCUACUGAAAAGUGAAUAUAUCACUUAAAUGGAUUGGCCAGCGUGCUCCCCUGAUUUAAAUCCCUUAGAACAUGUGUUGGAUGCUUUGGGGAGAUGCCUUGUGGCACGAUUACAUCCUCUGGGGAACACCCAGCAACUGAAACAGAUGCUGAUUGAGAAAUAGGCCAUCUUUCCUCAAGAUUUGUUGGACAAUUUGGUGCUGAGUAUGAGGAGACCAUUUGAAGCAACCAUUGCAGUAAGGGGAGGGCAUAUCUCACAGUAAGGAACAUCUGCUUGUUGUUCUUCCUCUUGUACAGAAAAUCAUGUAUAAUGAUACUAUGAGUUCAAUAAAGCCUAUUUUUGUUUGA
This 2116-nucleotide long non-coding RNA is filed under the name Stegodyphus dumicola. RNAcentral's name for it is "uncharacterized LOC118204579". Lineage: Eukaryota; Metazoa; Arthropoda; Arachnida; Araneae; Eresidae. The record is from RNAcentral.